UCUGGCGGCUUUAGCGCGGUGGUCCCACCUGACCCCAUGCCGAACUCAGAAGUGAAACGCCGUAGCGCCGAUGGUAGUGUGGGGUCUCCCCAUGUGAGAGUAGGGAACUGCCAGAU
RNAcentral lists this ribosomal RNA (116 nucleotides) under Enterobacter asburiae. The record is from RNAcentral. Lineage: Bacteria; Pseudomonadati; Pseudomonadota; Gammaproteobacteria; Enterobacterales; Enterobacteriaceae. RNAcentral also lists the same sequence under 1 other name.